RNAcentral lists this small RNA (132 nucleotides) under Citrobacter amalonaticus. RNAcentral describes it as "RtT RNA". It matches the Rfam family "RtT RNA". Rfam says of the family: This family represents a bacterial cis-regulatory element known as RtT RNA. The exact function of RtT is unknown although it is thought that it may be involved in changing the cellular response in relation to amino acid starvation. RNAcentral also lists the same sequence under 31 other names. Lineage: Bacteria; Pseudomonadati; Pseudomonadota; Gammaproteobacteria; Enterobacterales; Enterobacteriaceae. The record is from RNAcentral.
UAUUCUGCCCAGACGGGAAGGAUGAGAAGCUUCGACUAAGGUUCGAUUCGAGCGUUAGCGAGAAAGCGUUGCCGCAGGCAACGACCCGAAGGGCGAAGCGCACCGCGCUGAGUAAUCCUUCCCCCACCACCA